RNAcentral lists this ribosomal RNA (498 nucleotides) under uncultured bacterium. RNAcentral describes it as "bacterial SSU rRNA". It matches the Rfam family "Bacterial small subunit ribosomal RNA", at positions 28 to 516 of the family's 1533-position model. The record is from RNAcentral.
GAUGAACGCUAGCUACAGGCUUAACACAUGCAAGUCGAGGGGCAGCAUGAUUGAAGCUUGCUUCAAUUGAUGGCGACCGGCGCACGGGUGAGUAACACGUAUCCAACCUUCCGUACACUCAGGGAUAGCCUUUCGAAAGAAAGAUUAAUACCUGAUGGUAUCUUAAGCACACAUGUAAUUAAGAUUAAAGAUUUAUCGGUGUACGAUGGGGAUGCGUUCCAUUAGGUAGUAGGCGGGGUAACGGCCCACCUAGCCUACGAUGGAUAGGGGUUCUGAGAGGAAGGUCCCCCACAUUGGAACUGAGACACGGUCCAAACUCCUACGGGAGGCAGCAGUGAGGAAUAUUGGUCAAUGGACGAGAGUCUGAACCAGCCAAGUAGCGUGAAGGAUGAAGGUCCUACGGAUUGUAAACUUCUUUUAUAAGGGAAUAAACUCUCCCACGUGUGGAGCUUGUAUGUACCUUAUGAAUAAGCAUCGGCUAACUCCGUGCCAGCAGCC